AGUGAACGCUGGCGGUAGGCCUAACACAUGCAAGUCGAACGGCAGCACAGUAAGAGCUUGCUCUUACGGGUGGCGAGUGGCGGACGGGUGAGGAAUACAUCGGAAUCUACUUUUUCGUGGGGGCUAACGUAGGGAAACUUACGCUAAUACCGCAUACGACCUACGUGUGAAAGCAGGGGAUCUUCGGACCUUGCGCGAUUGAAUGAGCCGAUGUCGGAUUAGCUAGUUGGCGGGGUAAAGGCCCACCAAGGCGACGAUCCGUAGCUGGUCUGAGAGGAUGAUUAGCCACACUGGAACUGAGACACGGUCCAGACUCCUGCGGGAGGCAGCAGUGGGGAAUAUUGGACAAUGGGGGCGAGCCUGAUCCAGGCAUACCGCGUGGGUGCAGAAGGCCUUCGGGUUGUAAAGCCAUGUAGUUGGGAAAGAAAAGCAGCAGGUUAAUACCCCGCUGUUCUGACGGUACCCAAAGAAUAAGCACCGGCUAACUUCGUG
RNAcentral lists this ribosomal RNA (492 nucleotides) under uncultured bacterium. Its description in RNAcentral is "partial 16S ribosomal RNA". It matches the Rfam family "Bacterial small subunit ribosomal RNA", at positions 29 to 507 of the family's 1533-position model. The record is from RNAcentral.